Molecule: long non-coding RNA, 2044 nt
Organism: Tympanuchus pallidicinctus (lesser prairie-chicken)
Lineage: Eukaryota; Metazoa; Chordata; Aves; Galliformes; Phasianidae
Exons: 4
Source: RefSeq, a predicted model, not a curated record
AGAUUGCUUCUGCUGGUGUUUUGUGAGUGAGCCCAGGAUAGGGCCAGUGGUUUGGUUCAGUAGUGGAAGAGCUGAAACGGGAAAACAUUUGACUUACAAGAAAAGUUUAUUGGAAUUGUUGUGGCUGGCUGGCUUGUGGAAAUGUUUAUGCCUGUGAAAAGAAGUCCAGUUGGGAUAGAUACUCACCGAGGACAUCGAUAUUCAAGUACAUUCUUGACUACCUGAUAUAAUUCCUACUUAGUACAAAGGGUGUGACACCUCAUCUGCUUCAUGGCCUUGCUAAGAAGCUAUCCAUACUUUUAGCAAACCUGAGUUUGCAGAGAAAAGUCUGAGAUACUGCCCUGAAUUUGGCAGUUACCAUACAGUAUAAAUUUUUGCAGAGAGGAAAACCUUCAAAUGUCCCAGAAACAAACUGUCCAAGGAUUCUGAUGGUGAUAAAAUAUAGAAGUGGCCGUGGUCUCUUGUGAGAUGGCAUCAUGUUGAAGGACGAAGGGAGAAUGGAAAUUCUGCUGAAGCAGCAAGAGACAACUCUUUGGGGAAAUGAUAGGACGUUCUGAUUAAACCAGCUGAAGAACAAAUUUCUCUUGUUAGUCAGGUUUGGGGGAAGUGAAAUUUUUUCAUUGCACUGUUCUUCUCUCCUCCCUAUAGUACCAGAAGUGAAUAGUUUUUUUUUUUUAAGGUGCUUUACAGAUUUGUGUUCAUAACCUAAUUAAAACAUCACCUGUAUAUUAUCUAGUAUUGUGUAGCACUAGUACUACGCUAGUACUAGUUUGUGUUCACAAAGAAUGAUAGAAUUUUUAGUCAGAAAUGGCAUAAUAAAUUUUCUACAUACAGCUAUUCUUCAUUAUAAACUCUAUUAUCAGUACUUCUAAUUCUCUGCAUGAAAAUUAAUUUUAUAUUAAAAAAAACUGCAUUGCAAUCUGGGAUGACACUUGUAUUAAAACUUAUGUUUGUUUCGUUAUAAUGCUUGCAAGUCGCAGACAAUAAUGAUGUCAGGCUGCUAGGCAGCUUUUACAUGAAACGAGGAGAUGGUUCUACCCCAUAUGUGCAAGAGGUUCUAUCCCACAAAACACUGAAGUUAUACAAGCACAUGAGAAAUGUAUUAGUAAGUGAGUUUGGUGUUAAUUUUUGAGUGAGAUGGUGGGAAAUCCUUUGGUAAAUAAAUAUUAUCUGUUAAAAUCUAAGAAUAAUGUAGGAAAGCUGUUCAGCAUUUAAAAUUUUAUACUGCAUUUUGGUGUGAGAAAAGUCAAGGUGAAAGUGAGAACAAAAACACUGACAAGCAAAAUAGUUUUUUGUAUCUGAGUUCUCAAGUCUCAAACAUCUGUUGAGUUUGACUUCUUCUGAAUUAUUAUUACUUAGUGACUGCUGUUUUUCAGCAGCCAGUUUAUUAAUAAGAUUAUAUUUUAUUUGACUUCAAUUGUACUUCAUGAAACAAUUCAAAUUGCUUUAGAAAUAUUUAUUAGACUUUCAAGCCCCCAAGCUAUGAAACGUAGUUCUUACUGCCAUAUCAUAAUCACUGAAAUACAUCAAAAACUUGGAGUUUAGAAACUCGUACAGUAAAAAUAAAAAAUCCAAGUAUAACAAAAGACAAAAUGAUAAGCAAUAAGGUUUUAAUGUGGCUCUUUCAUCAUGUGAGAAAAUUGAAUGUAUUUAAGAGUAAAUAAAUGCUACAACAAUAUCCCAUUUAUUUUUCAAGUCCAUCCAGAUUAAUAUAGAAACUGUCACUUGAGUAAGAAUGUUUUCAGAAUAUUAGACACUCAGUUGGAUGUUAGGCACUCAUCAAAUUCACCAGAAAAAAGUUAAAUUUUUCCCUCCAUUUUCUUUUGUUCCCCUCUUUCCUUUUUUGUAAGGGUUUAGCCUUAUGGUGAAGGCAAUAGUAAAGGGCCUAUUAAUUUUGAUAUUUUUUUCCAUUUCUACCAGAGAUUGCAAGUGCAGUAUUGAGUGAAUUUAUAAUUUUAUUUUUGUUUAGAAAAAUUUUGAUGUUAUUUCACAGUUAUGUAAACUGUCAAUUUUACUUAUGUGAAUUAUUUGCAUUUUUCUUAAG